GUGAACGCUGGCGGUAGGCCUAACACAUGCAAGUCGCACGGCAGCACAGUAAGAGCUUGCUCUUACGGGUGGCGAGUGGCGGACGGGUGAGGAAUACAUCGGAAUCUACUUUUUCGUGGGGGAUAACGUAGGGAAACUUACGCUAAUACCGCAUACGACCUACGGGUGAAAGCAGGGGAUCUUCGGACCUUGCGCGAUUGAAUGAGCCGAUGCCGGAUUAGCUAGUUGGCGGGGUAAAGGCCCACCAAGGCGACGAUCCGUAGCUGGUCUGAGAGGAUGAUCAGCCACACUGGAGCUGAGACACGGUCCAGACUCCUACGGGAGGCAGCAGUGGGGAAUAUUGGACAAUGGGCGCAAGCCUGAUCCAGCCAUACCGCGUGGGUGAAGAAGGCCUUCGGGUUGUAAAGCCCUUUUGUUGGGAAAGAAAAGCAGCAGGUUAAUACCCCGCUGUUCUGACGGUACCCAAAGAAUAAGCACCGGCUAACUUCGUG
This 491-nucleotide ribosomal RNA is filed under the name uncultured bacterium. RNAcentral's name for it is "partial 16S ribosomal RNA". It matches the Rfam family "Bacterial small subunit ribosomal RNA", at positions 29 to 507 of the family's 1533-position model. The record is from RNAcentral.